RNAcentral lists this ribosomal RNA (466 nucleotides) under uncultured bacterium. RNAcentral's name for it is "partial 16S ribosomal RNA". It matches the Rfam family "Bacterial small subunit ribosomal RNA", at positions 28 to 507 of the family's 1533-position model. The record is from RNAcentral.
GACGAACGCUGGCGGCGUGCUUAACACAUGCAAGUCGAACGGGAAGGCUCCUGCUUUUGGGGGUACUCGAGUUGCUAACGGACGAGUAACACGUGCGUGAUCUGCCUUCCACUUGGGUAUAAACAUGGGACACUGGGUCUAAUACCGGCUAGGUCAAGCGUUUGGAUGGCAUCUCGGAACGGUUUUUCGGGGUGGGUUGAGCUCGCGGCCCAUCAGCUUGUGGGUGGGGUAAUGUCCUACCAAGGCGUCGACGGGUAGCCGGCCUGAGAGGGUGUACGGCCACAUUGGGACUGAGAUACGGCCCAGAGUCCUACGGGAGGCAGCAGUGGGGAAUAGUGGACAAUGGGCGGAAGCCGUAUGCAGCGACGCCGCGUGGGGGAGGACGGCCUUCGGGGUGGAAACUCCGUUCGCUAGGGACGAAGCGCAAGUGACGGUACCUGGAGAAGAAGCACCGGCUAACUACGUG